This 8614-nucleotide long non-coding RNA is filed under the name Solanum tuberosum (potato). RNAcentral describes it as "long non-coding RNA (STUB_LNC004656)". The record is from RNAcentral. Lineage: Eukaryota; Viridiplantae; Streptophyta; Magnoliopsida; Solanales; Solanaceae.
GCCAAUCGGAGACUAACAUCGCAGCGAUGUCACCGAAGCUCCACUGACCGAGGGCAUGCAAGCAUAGCGACGCUGUCACACACCAACAAUCAAAUGUUACAUUACAAGCUUUACACAGCCGGGUUUUUAUAGUACAACGGCCCCGCCAGUCGGAGGCUUUACAUUACAAGCUUUACACAGCCAGAUGCAACCUUUUACAUCACAACGGCCCCGCAAAUUAGAGGCCUCUACAUUACAAGUUACUUUACCUACAUCACAUUCACAACACGAAAAGGGGGACAUCAACAAUCGUUUGGACAUCUACACUCUACUCUUUACAUUACUAUUUCAAUUUAUAAUAUUUUUUUUGAACCACAACAAGUACUUUUCACCCUUUACCAUGUUUUGCAGGACAACAUAUUACAACGAGGAACUUCCUCUAAGCAGCAAACUAGGGCAAGUUAGUGCAAUGUCAAACAUCACUAGCUACGUCAAGGAUUCACUUUCAAAACUCAACUCGACUCGAUUUUCAGAAGUUGAUAUUUAAAUCAUACUUAUAACUCUUUCAUGUCUCAGUUCAUUAUAACUCGAUAGUGGGGUAAUCUUUUUGAAAAUCCAUCCCUCUACCAUAGGUCUUCAAUAGAAAUUGCUACGGAACAUUUCUCAUUCAAGUUUCUUUAGAACUAUAUCUCGCCCCUCUAUUCAUGCUAAUCUCUUCAUACCUCGCCACCAAAAGAUUUCAUUAUUACCAUAAUUCGAUACUGGGCAAAUUUUAAUAAAAUUUUCUAUGUUCCUACACUCUCGAACUACAUAUGACCUGAUUUCUCAUGAAGCCUGAGAUAUGUAGGCAACUCAGAAGCCAGAGUUCGACCAUAACUCCAUAAACAUUUCUUGCCAAGUGGUUGCUCAAAGUAUAUUUUGGUGGUCGCCUAAAUUGGAUCGUGUCAAUAUAUCUUUGUCCACGUCUUCUAUAUUCUCUUCCAUGAACAAAGAAAGGGGCAAGCUGUUGACACCCAAUUUUGCCUCUCCACAUUUAACUAAAGUAGUAGUAAUAAUAAUAAUAAUAAUAAUAAUAAAAAUAAUAAAAAUAAUAAUAAGAAUAAUAAUAAGAAUAACAAUAAUAACAAUAAUAACAAUAACAAUAACAACAACAACAACAAUAAUAAUAAUAAUAAUAAUAAUAAAANNNNNNNNNNNNNNNNNNNNNNNNNNNNNNNNNNNNNNNNNNNNNNNNNNNNNNNNNNNNNNNNNNAAGUAUAUAUAUAUAUAUAUAUAUAUAUAUGUUAUGAAAUUUUUAUGGGAAUACGAAAAGAUUUUUAAUUAUUUAUUUUACUUGAUAAAUUUAUUUCAUAAAUGUUAUUUUUUAUAAAAAAAUUGAAUAUAUAAAUAUUACUACUUACUUUCUCAUUUUUCUAAAUUUCACGUCAAAUAAAUAUUAUUUUUAAUGGUUAACUCAAUUUUUUUUAAUUAAAUAUAAUUUCUAUUAUUGCAAUAAAUAUUUUUCGACAUAUUUUUUUAAAAUUAGGAAGGCUGAAUUAAUUAAUGAGUUACUAAUUUAUAUUAAUUUUAUUUUUAGAAUGACUAAUUUUAUCAAAUAAGCUAGUCUUGUAAAAUAAUUAUUUUUAAUUUAAUAAAUUAUGGCUAUUUAAUAAGGAAGAGUAUAAUUUUAAUUGGAUUUAAUUUGAGAAAAUUUGGCAAUCCAAGUCAUUUUAAUUCUUCCAAUCCACGCGUGCCACAUAUGAAGCACAUGGAUUGUGCUUCUUUGGAUUCGAUCUCAACCGUCCGAUUUAAUCUAGGGGACCCAAUUUAAUUCAGCAUUCUCUCUCUCUCUCUCUCUAUAUAUAUAUAUAUUUAUUUAUUUAUUUAUUUAUUUAACUCUUGAUUAAUUUUGACCGUCCGAUCAAACGAUCAGACGGUCCAAAAUGAGUAAGACCUUUCUUUUUCCCCCAAAAAAUAGACUCUACUACCCUACGCUUUCCUUUUCCCAAAAUUCAGCCGUCCACGCCUCUUCCUCUUCCCCAAAACGACGUCCCAAACUCGUCUGCUUCCCAAAACGUCUUCUCCAUGGCCGCCCAUGCUUCAUCCUCAGACUCCCUACGCUAGCUAUGCCUUCUCCAUAGAUGCCCAUGCUCUCCCAUCGCCUCUUUCUUAAACAUUUUCUCCACAGACGCCUAUGGCCGCCCCAGGCUCCUCUCCCAUCACUGACCCACGUGAUCCCCCAUCCCCUUCGUCAGAGAAAUGGCUCUGGGCCACCGAAAAUGCUUUAUCAAUCACUCAGUCCUCUCAAAUCGACCUUUCAGGUCAAUUCUUGAGAGAUUUUUCUUCUCCUUCAUGAUUUCUUUGUUGCUUCCUCUGAGAUUGGCGUUUCCAAGAAUUCAAAUUUUGAAUUCUUAGAGCCCAAAUCAAUUAUAAAAGGAGGACUCCGGUUCUGAACGAAGAACAUCCAAAAAAAUAAGGAGAAAAACAAGUAAGAAUCAUCCAAGAAUCGACUAAGAAUCAUCCAGGAACGAGCAAGAAAAUCCAAUAAUCAUCUGAGAAUCACAAAAUAGCUCGGCUUAGUUUCUUUUACUUCUCGUUAAGCAUGUGAUUAUCCUUGUCAUCGCUUCUAAAAUAUGUCUCGACAUCUUUGAGUUCGGUUUUAACAAUAAGAAUCACCAUGUGAUAUCAAUGUGAAUUCUGUUAUAUAUAAACAUUAUUUACCUAUUUAAGCAAUCAAAUUUACACUUAGAAAAGUUACUCUAAGUACUAUGUUAAAAGAGAAUAGCUUAUUCGUGGUUCGUACCAACUCAUUUUUUAAUGUUUAGUCCUUAAAUCACCCGUUUCCUCUCUUAUUCUUUUUAAAUUGCUGAUUUGAAGCCAUAUUAGUUUCAUGUAUACAUAGUUGCUACAUCUCUAAAUUAUGUAUUGGAAACAAAUGUGCAUUCUUAGUUGAGUUAUAUAAAUUUUGUUAACCGUGCAUUGUUGUGAGCAUGUGCACUUUGCUUUUGCCUUACCUACAAUAUAAGAGUGGAUUAAGUUAAUAGGGAAUAUGUAUUUAUUUGUCAUAUUUAGUAGUUGUUAACUGCCUUUAAUCUUAGUUACAAAGCUAAUUGUAUUGGUUAGUUGAGAGUUCAUUCGGUUCACUAUUUCCUUAGGAUUUGUUUUAUUUGUUGUUAUGACUGGUACUUUUCUUUUUUGUUUAAGGUUUCUCCUUUGCUUCUUUCUUUUUUUUCUUUCAUGUACAAUCGGAGGGCUGAAGUUUCUACUUUUGAACUCGUUAUUGGCUUAAAAUAUUAGGCCAACAACAAUUAGGAUCAUCACGAUGCUUGGAGUCUCAGGAAUUAGGAGUCUAAUAUUUCUUAGCCUUUCUAUCUUGGUCUUAAUUAUAUUGUUUGAUAUGUUGGCUAACCUUUACUUAUUUCUACAUAACUUUUAAGUUUUGAUAUAUUUCUUGUCUUUUAUUUUGAAGAUUAAUUAUGUGAGCUAAUAUCAUUUGUUUGUGAAUUUAGUAGAAAUACUUUUAGAACAAAUGAUACAAAAUAUUUUUUUGGAAAUGGGUUAACAUUUUUAAGUUUUUCUUAUAACAUUUUCUUAGGCCUUUAUGUUAAGGAAUAGGAAAAUUUAUCGUCUAAAAUUCCCAAUUGGAGUUUCAAAAGGGCUAAAAUAAUAUUCAUUUAGGCCUACUCAUCGCUUAGGACCUCCAAAUAAAUUUGAAACUAGUUUAAAGGCUAGAAUAAUUAACUUUAGAAAUUACUUAUGGCUAAGAUAUUUAUCCUUUAGAAAUACCUUUUUUUAAGAAAAAUAGGCCUAUAUAUUUUUAACAAAAGAUAAAUAUAACUAUAGAAUAAGUCUCAAUAGUUAGGCCCAUUUUAUAUCUUUUUUUUACAUCACCCCUUUUCGAAAAUAUAUUUACUAUUAUCACAUUUCAAAUCAAAAAUUGCUAAAAUAUUUUAAUUUCUUAACAUGUUAUAUCAAGAUUUUAGAUAUGCCAACAGGUUCAAAAUACAAGGUACAUACAUAUAUAUGUCAUAUGCAAAACGGUACAAAUCCUACAUUUUUUUAGUUUUCUCUAUAUGUAACUUAUUAUUUUUUUACACUUCAUAUUAUUUUUUUUCUAAUAUCUACUAUCACUUUUACAAAUAUUACUUAUUUUUUAAAUAUAAUUUAUUAAUCCCUACACUUUAAUAUACACAUUAUUUACUACAUGUUUGCAACUUGACUACUAUCUCAUUUUAUUUUAUUUUCUUUCACGUCUUAAUUCUAUAUAUAAAUAAAACAACAAAUUUUCCUAUCCUUUAAACUCAACAUUUAUUUUGGAUACAUUUAUAUAAGACACAUCCAUAUUUUUUUUUUAACAUAAAAUUGUCAUAUACUUUUAGCGCAUUUAUUUAUUUAUUUUUCUUACCGUAUGAUAAACAUACUACUACAAUUUUAUCUAAUAGACAUAUAUAUGUCAUACCUUGUAUUUUACUCUUUUCUUAAACUAAUAAAAUUUACUUACCAUUGAUUUUAAAGCAAAUAAAUAAAUAAGUUUUCCUAAUUAUAUUUUCCUAAAUUGAGUCUAAGGACUAUCUUCGGAUAGGCUCUGAGGGAUGCUUAAUACCUUUCCCUCGAGUAACCAAAACCCUUACUCAGAAUCUCACUGGUUUCACAAAUAAAAAAAAAUUACUUUUACAUAUUAAAAAAUUGUUUUCCUAAUAUUUUUCUGAAAAUUUAGGUGGCGACUCUAAAACAAAAACAAUAUUUUCAAAAAUCAGAGUGAUAGUCAUAUUAUGUUGUGAACUGUUUCAGCUAGUUCGAAAUAGGGGUGCGACACUUAUGUUAGACAAAUUAACAUAUAUCUCAAUCUAUUAUGGAGAAUCCAUGUUUGUGCAUCAUAGUAUAUUCAUUAAUCAUUUACUGCACAUCAAAAUUAUCAGAUGAAAAAUAUUUGGUCCCUAACCAUAAACCAAUUAAGAGAAAAAUUGAUCAUAAUUUGUUGGUCUGAUGUGUACAAUUACUUUUGUAUGCUAUACCGUAUUUCAGAUCAACACAUGAAGCUUUAUUUUCAUAAGCAAUGAUUUCACUAUCUGAGACAUUUAAUGUCACAUCAUCUUGAAUAUUUAUCAAUAUUUUUAUCUUGAUUUCAUAUUCUGAAAGUUUUGCUCUUAACUCAAUUAUCUUGCACAAACAAUUUUGCGAAUGUCAACUACAGGUUGACAACAAACGCACAUGUGAUUAUCUUAUAAAUGCAUCUCUUUAUCAUAUCACAUGAUAGGUGAACGGGCCCAUAUUCACCUUUUAUACUUUUUAGAAUUUAGAGAUUUAGUCCCAACAUUAGUUGAUCCAAUCAACUUAUCAUGAGAACAAGCAACAUAAAGAAUUCUUGAAAAAUCUUCUAGUUCUUCAAUGUAUGUCUAUUACUCAGUAUGCACAUCUUUGGGAUGACCAAAUUAUUCAUGCCAACUAAUAAAACUAUUAGUAUUAGUAAACUUCAAGUUUACUAUGCCAUGUGCCUUUUGCUUUAGUAAAUUUCUUAUUUACUAUUAUAUGAGAAAAUUUUAGUUUUAUUAUUCCGAGAGUAAUUUUAGAUUUAUUUCUUCUCCGUUAUUCUACCCCUUCUGGAGGUGAGUUGUGAUCCCAUCACUGAACGGACUAAUCUGAUUAGCAGAAAACUGUGCAUGUAAUCAUAUUAUUUGUGCUAACAUUUUUGCAAACAUCAAGUUGCGAGAUAACAAUAGGCACACAUGAGACCAUCUAGAAGUAUCAUAUAUUAGGACCAUGAAGUAUCUAAACGACCCACUAGGUGGUGAAUAGGUCCACAAAUAUUCCUAUGUAUACGUUCCAAGAACGCAGGGGAUUUAAUCUCAACUUUCAUUAAUGAUGGUUUCACAAUCAACUUGCCUUGAUAACAAACAUUACAAGAAAAUUCACCAUUUAAAAGAAUCUUUAGGUUCUUUAAUGGAUGUCUAUUUGAAUUAUCUAUAAUUCGUCUCAUCAUUAUAGAUUCAUGAUGUCCUAGACGAUAUAGACCCAUGAUGUCCCAGACGAUCAUGUCGAAGUACGAAAGUAUUGGAAGUAGGAAACUUUUGAUUUACUAAAGAAUGUGUCACCAAUCCUUGUCUAAUACAAAUAAAAAAAUAACACAUGUUUGCCCAGAAACAUUCUUAGUGAUACCACAUCUACAACCAAAGGUUGCGAUCUUUUCCACGCCUAGCAUGGUGGCUUACACCUCAUUCACUUUAGAGAAUGGAUCUAUAUUUUUAGCAUUUAUCAAAAGUUCUCAUUCUUCAUGAAUGGAAAACAAUCAUGUGAGCAUAUGAUAGCUUUAGUACCUCAUUCAAAAUUCAUGUGCAUUAUUCAAUCACUUGUCUUCUUUCAGACAUUAUAUGUAGGAGUAAAAUGCAAAUGGACACCUGUUAUACCCCAUUUUAACCGGGUCAAAAUAGUAUACAACAUUUUGGAGAUUUCUAAAGUUAAUCGACUAAGUCAAGAAGUCGCCACCUAAUUAUUUACGGUGAAUUAGGGCACCUAAAUUGAUUAAAGUUAUGUUCUAAAGUUAACUUCAUUUUAAGGUCUACUAAACUUAAGAUUCUCGGUAAGGGUUCAACUAAUCUAAAGGGAAGGGGUUAGGCAUCCUUUAAGAUCCAUUAAAAAUGGUUAACCGACCGAACUUAAAUUUAUUAAUUAGGCUAAAUGUAAGAAAGUAAAAAUCAAGUUGGAAUGCUAAGUGUACAAUAAUCAAUUUUGGAAAAUUGUUUCACAUGAAAUCUAACUUGUGAAAAUAAAUUUGAAGUGAAGGUUUUGAAGGCUAACGUGAUUCUUGUUUUAAGAAAAGCAGUUGUUUUGCAAGAAUAAACCUUUUUCUUUUAAAGCCAAACUGACAGAACUUCAAAGUUGGUGGAAGGAAUCACCAUAUAUAAACUUAUAUAAGAAAAAUCUGAUUUUAAAAUUAUGAAGUAAGAAAUGUUUUAUAUACUCCAAAAGGCUAUUUUUAAUAACUACUUCUAUUAGUAUUAUUAACUAGUAAAAAAGAACGUUUGUUUUAAGGAAAAAGUGCUACUCAAAAUCAAUACAGAGGGUUCAAUCCUAGUCAAAUGCACACAAAUGCUCACAUUCACAAAUAAAUCAAGUUAUUGAACUCUAGUUAAAAAUAUAAAAUAAGGCGUAUGAAAACAAUUAAGCAUCACAGAAGCAAGAAAAUGUCCACAGCUUCCCUCCCAUUCUUUCAUUCUUUGUUCAUAUGUAUUUGAAAGAGAUCGAAAGGCUGGAAGGAAGAUAGACAUGAGUUUUAGAUCUAGCGGCGCGUAUCGAGUCUCAAAACAAGACUCUUGUGACAAGCGAAAGUGUUUAUGAACAUUCCAUUCAUGCUCCCAAAGUGUACAUGUAAAAAGAAAAGGAAAUAAAAAAAAUUAAACAAAGUGAUUUAAUUCUCAACAAAUAUUUACAACAAAAUAAGCUAACAAAGUUAUAACAACACACAACAUUACACUUUUGAUAACAUGAAACAAAGCAACUUUGUACCAUCCAUAACUAAAUGUAUUUGAAGAUGCACCAAAUCAUUUACUAAUUCGAAAUUGAUUUAAAAAGAGACAUCAAACUGUUAACAAAGCAACCUUUUACUUUCUUACUAUACUAAAGAUAGGUUGUUAUAUCAUGAAAUGAAAAGAUGACUUUAACUAAACUACUGCAAACUUUUCAAGAAUCAAUAUUCAAUAUGGUCACAUUUAAACCAAAAACUUAGCCAAAACAGAGAUAUUGAACUAAUUAACUAGAUUAGAUACGAUAUCUAAUCACAUACACAAUAUUAAACAAAACAAAUAAAUUGACAAGAACAACCCUUUAGCAGACAGAUUUCAACGAAUAUUCAAGAGUUUAGAACUCCCUUUUUUUAUGAUUAAACAUAAGUAUGUGCUGCAAUAAUAGUUUAAGUACGCAUGAUCCAUAAUAGUAUAUCUAAAAUUAAUACUAACUUUCAAACUAAAGCUAUUACAGAGAAGCAUGAGCUUAUGUAUUACUUAUAAAAUUUAAACAAAGCAAACAGACUACUGUAACCUUCACGGUUCCCAUACUUCAAUAAAUUCUAACAUAAUUUUUAAACAGAUUAAAAACUUAAAUUAAGAAAAUAAAGGAAGAAAAGUUGAGGUUACCGUUUAUGGGGCAGUGAACAUGGGUCGUCGGCAAGGAUAUAUCUCCUCUUGUUCCUCCGACAAAGUCGAGCAAAUAGAGACUAGAGUAGUAGAUGAUGAUAUCAAAAUGUAGGAAGUAGUGUUCUUGUGAGUGUUCAAGUUUAUUGAGUGCUUUUUUAAGCCAGCCAGGAAGUCAUCCCCCUUAACUCCAUAAAAAUGAGAAACUUUAUAGAAAUUUUUUGAUGUUCAAAGCUUUGUAUUUGGGCGGGAUUUUUGGAUUUGGAUUUGAAUUUUGAAUAUUGGUAAACUAGAGUUGUUGUGAAUCUGUCAUCUCUGCCACAAAGAAUCAAAAUCCAAAAGUUCUUUGGCCUUUUGUGUUGACCAAAUUAAGAGGAGAGAUGAGAAUGAGGGAGGGGAAAGCAACGGUACAUAUCCUUUAGGAGAAAGAGGUGAUGUUACACCAAAAUGGAGUGACAAAUCUUUUAUGAUUAAAGAUUGAUGGAGUUUUAUCUAGAAGUAGAAAUGCUCAGGAGAAGAGAGGGACAACG